Molecule: small nuclear RNA, 109 nt
Filed under: Dipodomys ordii (Ord's kangaroo rat)
Lineage: Eukaryota; Metazoa; Chordata; Mammalia; Rodentia; Heteromyidae
Description: U2 spliceosomal RNA
Rfam family: U2 spliceosomal RNA
About the family: U2 is a small nuclear RNA (snRNA) component of the spliceosome (involved in pre-mRNA splicing).
Source: Rfam by way of RNAcentral
AUCCCUUCUCAACCUUUUGGCUAAGAUCAAGUGUAGUAUCUGUCUUUAUCUGUUUAAAUCUCAUUUCCACUACUGUAUGGUUUAGCCUAGAUCCUAGUUUAUACUCCCU